This 491-nucleotide ribosomal RNA is filed under the name Bacillus thuringiensis. Its description in RNAcentral is "bacterial SSU rRNA". It matches the Rfam family "Bacterial small subunit ribosomal RNA", at positions 72 to 548 of the family's 1533-position model. The record is from RNAcentral. Lineage: Bacteria; Bacillati; Bacillota; Bacilli; Caryophanales; Bacillaceae.
GNUAGACUUGGUCUUAUUUCUUAGCGGCGGACGGGUGAGUACACGUGGGUAACCUGCCCAUAAGACUGGGAUAACUCCGGGAAACCGGGGCUAAUACCGGAUAACAUUUUGAACUGCAUGGUUCGAAAUUGAAAGGCGGCUUCGGCUGUCACUUAUGGAUGGACCCGCGUCGCAUUAGCUAGUUGGUGAGGUAACGGCUCACCAAGGCAACGAUGCGUAGCCGACCUGAGAGGGUGAUCGGCCACACUGGGACUGAGACACGGCCCAGACUCCUACGGGAGGCAGCAGUAGGGAAUCUUCCGCAAUGGACGAAAGUCUGACGGAGCAACGCCGCGUGAGUGAUGAAGGCUUUCGGGUCGUAAAACUCUGUUGUUAGGGAAGAACAAGUGCUAGUUGAAUAAGCUGGCACCUUGACGGUACCUAACCAGAAAGCCACGGCUAACUACGUGCCAGCAGCCGCGGUUAAUACGUAGGUGGCAAGCGUUAUCCGG